Non-coding RNA from Pluteus cervinus, 102 nucleotides. The record is from the annotation of a GenBank genome assembly. Lineage: Eukaryota; Fungi; Basidiomycota; Agaricomycetes; Agaricales; Pluteaceae.
GCCUUCUUGGCUCAGUUGGUUAGAGCGCAGGUCUCAUAGUCUAUAUGAGGUGCGAAAUGCACUGCAAUCCUGAGGUCGUGAGUUCGACCCUCACAGAAGGCA